Molecule: ribosomal RNA, 649 nt
Filed under: uncultured marine eukaryote
Lineage: Eukaryota
Description: SSU rRNA
Rfam family: Eukaryotic small subunit ribosomal RNA
Source: RNAcentral
UUGUGGUUAAAAAGCUCGUAGUUGGAUCUCGGCGGACUGAGGGCGGUUUGCUUGCUAGUAUUACUGCCCUAUAGUCCGUAGUUUUGCCAGAGGUUUCGGGGUGCUCUUAAUCGAGUGUCCCGGGAUGCUGGCAGGUUUACUUUGAAAAAAUUAGAGUGCUCAAAGCAGGCUAUUACGCCUGAAUAUUCGUGCAUGGAAUAAUAGAAUAGGAAGUCGUUUCUAUUUUGUUGGUUUUCGGAAAUCGACUUAAUGAUUAAUUGGGACAGUCGGGGGCAUUUGUAUUCAAACGACAGAGGUGAAAUUCUUGGACCGUUUGAAGACAAACUACUGCGAAAGCAUUUGCCAAGAAUGUUUUCAUUAAUCAAGAACGAAAGUUAGAGGUUCGAAGGCGAUUAGAUACCGCCCUAGUUCUAACCAUAAACGAUGCCAGCUAGCGAUCUGAGGACGUUUUUUUUGAAGACUCCUCAGGAAGCUUCCGGGAAACCAAAGCGUGUGGGUUCCGGGGGAAGUAUGGUUGCAAAGCUGAAACUUAAAGGAAUUGACGGAAGGGCACCACCAGGAGUGGAGCCUGCGGCUUAAUUUGACUCAACACGGGAAAUCUCACCAGGCCCGGACACUGGAAGGAUUGACAGAUUGAGAGCUCUUUCUC